RNAcentral lists this ribosomal RNA (440 nucleotides) under uncultured bacterium. RNAcentral describes it as "partial 16S ribosomal RNA". It matches the Rfam family "Bacterial small subunit ribosomal RNA", at positions 338 to 795 of the family's 1533-position model. The record is from RNAcentral.
CCUACGGGUGGCAGCAGUGGGGAAUAUUGCACAAUGGUGGAAACACUGAUGCAGCGACGCCGCGUGAGUGAAGAAGUAAUUCGUUAUGUAAAGCUCUAUCAGCCGGGAAGAAAAUGACGGUACCUGAGUACGAAGCCCCGGCUAACUACGUGCCAGCAGCCGCGGUAAUUCGUAGGGGGCCAGCGUUAUCCGGAUUUACUGGGUGUAAAGGGGGCGUAGACGGCAGUGCAAGUCUGGAGUGAAAGGCGGGGGCUCAACCCCCGGCCCGCCCUUGAAACUGGACGGCUGGAGUGGAGGAGAGGUAAGUGGAAUUCCUAGUGUAGCGGUGAAAUGCGUAGAUAUCAGGAGGAACACCAGUGGCGAAGGCGGCUUACUGGACUGUAACUGACGUUGAGGCUCGAAAGCGUGGGGAGCAAACAGGAUUAGAUACCCUGGUAGUC